GAGCCUGGCUCAGGAUGAACGCUGGCGGCGUGCUUAACACAUGCAAGUCGAACGAAGCGCUUAAGAUUGAUUCUUCGGAUGAAGUUUUUUGUGACUGAGUGGCGGACGGGUGAGUAACGCGUGGGUAACCUGCCUCAUACAGGGGGAUAACAGUUAGAAAUGACUGCUAAUACCGCAUAAGCGCACAGGGUCGCAUGACCUGGUGCGAAAAACUCCGGUGGUAUGAGAUGGACCCGCGU
RNAcentral lists this ribosomal RNA (239 nucleotides) under uncultured bacterium. RNAcentral's name for it is "partial 16S ribosomal RNA". It matches the Rfam family "Bacterial small subunit ribosomal RNA", at positions 15 to 236 of the family's 1533-position model. The record is from RNAcentral.